GUCUGGUGAUGAUGGCGAAGAGGUCACACCCGUUCCCAUGCCGAACACGGAAGUUAAGCUCUUCAGCGCCGAUGGUAGUCGGGGGUUUCCCCCUGUGAGAGUAGGACAUCGCCAGGC
Molecule: ribosomal RNA, 117 nt
Filed under: Bacillus siamensis
Lineage: Bacteria; Bacillati; Bacillota; Bacilli; Caryophanales; Bacillaceae
Source: RNAcentral